CGCGAAUGGCUCAUUACAACAGCCAUAAUUCACUUGAUCUUGACACAAUCCUACUUGGAUAACUGUGGUAAUUCUAGAGCUAAUACAUGCAUUAAGGCUCUGACCUCACGGGAAGAGUGCAUUUAUUAGAACAAAACCAAGCGGCUUCGGCUGUUUUCGGUUGACUCAUAGUAACUGAGCUGAUCGCAUGGUCUUGCACCGGCGACGUGUCUUUCAAGUAUCUGCCGUAUCAACUUUCGAUGGUAGUGUAUCUGACUACCAUGGUGAUCACGCGUAACGGAGAAUAAGGGUUCGACUCCGGAGAGUUCGCCUGAGAAAUCGCGAACACAUCUAAGGAAGGCAGCAGGCGCGAAAAUUACCCACUCUCAACGCGAGGAGGUAGUGACGAGAAAUAACAAGACCGUUCUCCUACGAGGCCGGUUAUUGGAAUGGGUACAAUUUAAACCCUUUAACGAGUAUCUAUGAGAGGGCAAGUCUGGUGCCAGCAGCCGCGGUAAUUCCAGCU
This 505-nucleotide ribosomal RNA is filed under the name Eucephalobus cf. oxyuroides Spiso201313. Its description in RNAcentral is "SSU rRNA". It matches the Rfam family "Eukaryotic small subunit ribosomal RNA", at positions 88 to 590 of the family's 1831-position model. Lineage: Eukaryota; Metazoa; Nematoda; Chromadorea; Rhabditida; Cephalobidae. The record is from RNAcentral.